CCUACGGGAGGCAGCAGUGGGGAAUUUUCCGCAAUGGGCGAAAGCCUGACGGAGCAACGCCGCGUGAGGGAUGAAGGCCUCUGGGCUGUAAACCUCUUUUAUCAAGGAAGAAGAUCUGACGGUACUUGAUGAAUAAGCCACGGCUAAUUCCGUGCCAGCAGCCGCGGUAAUACGGGAGUGGCAAGCGUUAUCCGGAAUUAUUGGGCGUAAAGCGUCCGCAGGCGGUCUUGUAAGUCUGUCGUUAAAGCGUGGAGCUCAACUCCAUUUCGGCGGUGGAAACUACAAGACUAGAGUGUGGUAGGGGCAGAGGGAAUUCCCGGUGUAGCGGUGAAAUGCGUAGAUAUCGGGAAGAACACCAGUGGCGAAGGCGCUCUGCUGGGCCAUAACUGACGCUCAUGGACGAAAGCUAGGGGAGCGAAAGGGAUUAGAUACCCCUGUAGUCCUAGCCGUAAACGAUGAACACUAGGUGUCGGGGGAAUCGACCCCCUCGGUGUCGUAGCUAACGCGUUAAGUGUUCCGCCUGGGGAGUACGCACGCAAGUGUGAACUCAAAGGAAUUGACGG
Molecule: ribosomal RNA, 563 nt
Filed under: uncultured bacterium
Lineage: Bacteria
Description: bacterial SSU rRNA
Rfam family: Bacterial small subunit ribosomal RNA
Source: RNAcentral